RNAcentral lists this ribosomal RNA (433 nucleotides) under uncultured bacterium. Its description in RNAcentral is "partial 16S ribosomal RNA". It matches the Rfam family "Bacterial small subunit ribosomal RNA", at positions 29 to 507 of the family's 1533-position model. The record is from RNAcentral.
AGCGAACGCUGGCGGCAGGCCUAACACAUGCAAGUCGAACGAACUCUUCGGAGUUAGUGGCGGACGGAUGAGUAACACGUGGGAACGUGCCUUUAGGUUCGGAAUAACUCAGGGAAACUUGUGCUAAUACCGAAUGUGCCCUUCGGGGGAAAGAUUUAUCGCCUUUAGAGCGGCCCGCGUCUGAUUAGCUAGUUGGUGAGGUAAAGGCUCACCAAGGCGACGAUCAGUAGCUGGUCUGAGAGGAUGAUCAGCCACAUUGGGACUGAGACACGGCCCAAACUCCUACGGGAGGCAGCAGUGGGGAAUCUUGCGCAAUGGGCGAAAGCCUGACGCAGCCAUGCCGCGUGAAUGAUGAAGGUCUUAGGAUUGUAAAAUUCUUUCACCGGGGACGAUAAUGACGGUACCCGGAGAAGAAGCCCCGGCUAACUUCGUG